CGCACAAGCACAAGGCAGGGGGAUAGAGCAAACCUACCCAUCCAUCCGGCAAGGGGCCAGGGCCAUCGAGCGGAGGCGACGGCCAAGCAGCGGCGGCGCACUGCGGCGAGCGGCGAGCGGCCGAGCGCCGAGCGGUAAGCGGCGUGCUCCCAGCCGGCUAGGCGCGGCGGCACGGCGAGCGGCAGGCGCCCCGCGGCCAACCGGCCAGGCGCGGCGAGCGAAACAGGCGCAAAGCAGUCGUGCUGGCGUGCUGCGGCCGGUAGCUGCAGGGGGCCAGCCGGCCAGGCUGCCGAGGCGAGCAGUCGAGCACCCAGGCUGCGAGGCUCCAAGCAGUGCGUUAGCAUAGCAAGAAAUUAGAUUGCUUCUUCGGAUGAAUAAUGGGUGUCACCGACACACGUGGCGCCUAUUAGUUUCAUAAUUUGGCUUUUCAAUACGAAUAAACUACAUCCUUUAUUUUUCAUGAUGUAUUCUGCGAUUUUCAUCGUUUAUCGAUGUUUUAAUAUAAAACUACUUCAAACUAUCAUAUUUGUUUUUU
Molecule: long non-coding RNA, 535 nt
Organism: Panicum virgatum (switchgrass)
Lineage: Eukaryota; Viridiplantae; Streptophyta; Magnoliopsida; Poales; Poaceae
Exons: 2
Source: RefSeq, a predicted model, not a curated record